GACGAACGCUGGCGGCGUGCUUAACACAUGCAAGUCGAACGGAAAGGCCCCUUUUGGGGUACUCGAGUGGCGAACGGGUGAGUAACACGUGAGUAACCUGCCCUUGACUUCGGGAUAACUUCAGGAAACUGGGGCUAAUACCGGAUAGGAAUCCUUGCUGCAUGGUGGGGGUUGGAAAGCUUCGGCGGUUUUGGAUGGACUCGCGGCUUAUCAGCUUGUUGGUGGGGUAGUGGCUUACCAAGGCUUGGACGGGUAGCCGGCCUGAGAGGGCGACCGGCCACAUUGGGACUGAGAUACGGCCCAGACUCCUACGGGAGGCAGCAGUGGGGAAUUUUGCACAAUGGGCGGAAGCCUGAUGCAGCAACGCCGCGUGCGGGAUGACGGCCUUCGGGUUUUAAACCGUUUUCGCCGGGGGCGAAGCUUGUGUGGCGGUAACCGGGAAAGAAGCACCGGCUAACUACGGG
This 464-nucleotide ribosomal RNA is filed under the name uncultured bacterium. Its description in RNAcentral is "partial 16S ribosomal RNA". It matches the Rfam family "Bacterial small subunit ribosomal RNA", at positions 28 to 507 of the family's 1533-position model. The record is from RNAcentral.